CUCUGGCAGAUAUGCACAAUCUGGUCAUUCUGUUUUGGAACAUUAAAUAUUCCAGCAACUAUGAUGGACAAAUAAUCAUGCAACAGCAUAAUGUUUCUCGAGUAUUUUUGCUUGCAACUGGUUGAGGUUGAGUGUGUGAGUCCAACUGCAAAAAUCAAGUCAUAUCAGUAAUUAAUAUAUCCAAUGGUAGAAACACAGGUUAUAC
Non-coding RNA from Pelobates cultripes (western spadefoot toad), 205 nucleotides. The record is from the annotation of a GenBank genome assembly. Lineage: Eukaryota; Metazoa; Chordata; Amphibia; Anura; Pelobatidae.